GAUGAACGCUGGCGGCGUGCCUAAUACAUGCAAGUCGAGCGAACAGAUGAGAAGCUUGCUUCUCUGAUGUUAGCGGCGGACGGGUGAGUAACACGUGGGUAACCUACCUAUAAGACUGGGAUAGCUCCGGGAAACCGGGGCUAAUACCGGAUAGUAUUUUGAACCGCAUGGUUCAAUAGUGAAAGACGGUUUCGGCUGUCACUUAUAGAUGGACCCGCGCCGUAUUAGCUAGUCGGUAAGGUAACGGCUUACCAAGGCGACGAUACGUAGCCGACCUGAGAGGGUGAUCGGCCACACUGGAACUGAGACACGGUCCAGACUCCUACGGGAGGCAGCAGUAGGGAAUCUUCCGCAAUGGGCGAAAGCCUGACGGAGCAACGCCGCGUGAGUGAUGAAGGUCUUCGGAUCGUAAAACUCUGUUGUUAGGGAAGAACAAAUUUGUUAGUAACUGAACAAGUCUUGACGGUACCUAACCAGAAAGCCACGGCUAACUACGUGCCAGCCGCCGCAGUAA
This 514-nucleotide ribosomal RNA is filed under the name uncultured bacterium. RNAcentral describes it as "partial 16S ribosomal RNA". It matches the Rfam family "Bacterial small subunit ribosomal RNA", at positions 28 to 523 of the family's 1533-position model. The record is from RNAcentral.